Molecule: non-coding RNA, 45 nt
Filed under: Pelobates cultripes (western spadefoot toad)
Lineage: Eukaryota; Metazoa; Chordata; Amphibia; Anura; Pelobatidae
Rfam family: Histone 3' UTR stem-loop
About the family: The mRNAs of metazoan histone genes lack a poly-A tail.
Source: RNAcentral
ACAAAGGCUCUUUUAAGAGCCACCCACAUUCUCCACAAAGAGCCG